RNAcentral lists this ribosomal RNA (253 nucleotides) under uncultured bacterium. RNAcentral's name for it is "partial 16S ribosomal RNA". It matches the Rfam family "Bacterial small subunit ribosomal RNA", at positions 524 to 776 of the family's 1533-position model. The record is from RNAcentral.
UACGUAGGCAGCGAGCGUUGUUCGGAGUUACUGGGCGUAAAGGGUGUGUAGGCGGUCUUCUAAGUCUGGUGUGAAAUCUCCCGGCUCAACUGGGAGGGUGCGCCGGAAACUGGGAGGCUAGAGUGUGGGAUGGGAGAGUGGAAUUCCUGGUGUAGCGGUGAAAUGCGUAGAUAUCAGGAGGAACACCUGUGGUGUAGACGGCUCUCUGGACCGCAACUGACGCUGAGACACGAAAGCGUGGGUAGCAAACAGG